This 1383-nucleotide ribosomal RNA is filed under the name uncultured bacterium. Its description in RNAcentral is "16S ribosomal RNA". It matches the Rfam family "Bacterial small subunit ribosomal RNA". The record is from RNAcentral.
AGAGUUUGAUCCUGGCUCAGGAUGAACGCUGGCGGCAUGCCUAAUACAUGCAAGUCGAACGGGAUAUCUUCGGAUAUCCAGUGGCGAACGGGUGAGUAACACGUAGGUAACCUGCCCAUGUGCCCGGGAUAACGCCUGGAAACGGGUGCUAAAACCGGAUAGGUAUCGCUUCUGCAUGGAAGAGAUAUUAAAGGAGCUGCAAGGCUCUGAACAUGGAUGGACCUGCGGUGCAUUAGCUGGUUGGUGAGGUAACGGCCCACCAAGGCGACGAUGCAUAGCCGGCCUGAGAGGGUGAACGGCCACAUUGGGACUGAGACACGGCCCAAACUCCUACGGGAGGCAGCAGUAGGGAAUUUUCGUCAAUGGGGGCAACCCUGAACGAGCAAUGCCGCGUGAGUGAGGAAGGUCUUCGGAUCGUAAAGCUCUGUUGCAGGAGAAAAACGGCAGAUAUAGGAAAUGAUAUCUGAGUGAUGGUAACCUGCCAGAAAGUCACGGCUAACUACGUGCCGGCAGCCGCGGUAAUACGUAGGUGGCGAGCGUUAUCCGGAAUGAUUGGGCGUAAAGGGUGCGUAGGUGGCCUUAUAAGUCUGGAGUGAAAGGCGGCAGCUCAACUGCCGUAUGCUCUGGAAACUGUGAGGCUGGAGUGCAGGAGAGGGCGAUGGAACUCCAUGUGUAGCGGUAAAAUGCGUAGAUAUAUGGAAGAACACCAGUGGCGAAGGCGGUCGCCUGGCCUGUAACUGACACUGAAGCACGAAAGCGUGGGGAGCAAAUAGGAUUAGAUACCCUAGUAGUCCACGCCCUAAACGAUGAGUACUAGAUGUUGGAAUUUUCAGUGUCACAGCUAACGCAAUAAGUACUCCGCCUGAGGAGUAUGCACGCAAGUGUAAAACUUAAAGGAAUUGACGGGGCCCCGCACAAGCGGUGGAGUAUGUGGUUUAAUUCGACGCAACGCGAAGAACCUUACCAGGCCUUGACAUCCCCUGCAAAACUAUAGAGAUAUAGCAGAGGUUAUCAGGGUGACAGGUGGUGCAUGGUUGUCGUCAGCUCGUGUCGUGAGAUGUUGGGUUAAGUCCCGCAACGAGCGCAACCCUCGUCUUUAGUUACCAUCAUUCAGUUGGGGACUCUAGAGAAACUGCCGGUGACAAACCGGAGGAAGGUGGGGAGGACGUCAAAUCAUCAUGCCCUUUAUGGCCUGGGCUACACACGUACUACAAUGGCGUAUACAAUAAGAGGCAAUAUCGUAAGAUGGAGCAAAACUUCUAAAAUACGUCUCAGUUCGGAUUGAGGUCUGCAACUCGACCUCAUGAAGUUGGAAUCGCUAGUAAUCGCGAAUCAGCAUGUCGCGGUGAAUACGUUCUCGGGGCUUGCACUCACCGCCCGUCA